This 502-nucleotide ribosomal RNA is filed under the name Pantoea sp. RNAcentral's name for it is "bacterial SSU rRNA". It matches the Rfam family "Bacterial small subunit ribosomal RNA", at positions 20 to 511 of the family's 1533-position model. Lineage: Bacteria; Pseudomonadati; Pseudomonadota; Gammaproteobacteria; Enterobacterales; Erwiniaceae. The record is from RNAcentral.
UGGCUCAGAUUGAACGCUGGCGGCAGGCCUAACACAUGCAAGUCGGACGGUAGCACAGAGGAGCUUGCUCCUUGGGUGACGAGUGGCGGACGGGUGAGUAAUGUCUGGGGAUCUGCCCGAUAGAGGGGGAUAACCACUGGAAACGGUGGCUAAUACCGCAUAACGUCGCAAGACCAAAGAGGGGGACCUUCGGGCCUCUCACUAUCGGAUGAACCCAGAUGGGAUUAGCUAGUAGGCGGGGUAAUGGCCCACCUAGGCGACGAUCCCUAGCUGGUCUGAGAGGAUGACCAGCCACACUGGAACUGAGACACGGUCCAGACUCCUACGGGAGGCAGCAGUGGGGAAUAUUGCACAAUGGGCGCAAGCCUGAUGCAGCCAUGCCGCGUGUAUGAAGAAGGCCUUCGGGUUGUAAAGUACUUUCAGCGGGGAGGAAGGCGNNNNNGUUAAUAACCGUNUCGAUUGACGUUACCCGCAGAAGAAGCACCGGCUAACUCCGUGCCAG